Long non-coding RNA from Camelina sativa (false flax), 371 nucleotides. RefSeq lists it as uncharacterized. The record is from RefSeq and is a predicted model, not a curated record. Lineage: Eukaryota; Viridiplantae; Streptophyta; Magnoliopsida; Brassicales; Brassicaceae.
UCUCAUCUUCUUUCCCUAAACACCAUCUCGUUUUCCUUCGAUUUCCAAACCCUCGACUUUUCAAAAUAUAUUUGACACAAACCUUUGUUGUUCUCAAGUCUGACAACUAUUCUAUUUAUGGAACAUGAAUUGCUUUGAGAUGAAUUUUAUCUGUUACAAUUGUUUUCGGAGAAGCUCAAAUUCGGAAAUACGAAGAUCAUUCAGAUGUAGUAGUCAAUCGAUAUCUUGAUCGGCGGAUUCAGUAUUGGGUUUUGGUUUAUUGGCCCGAUCCUUGUCAAUACAAUUAAUUUGUGUAUACAAAAUUGCUAUAAUCGAGAUGAAGAACAUAUACCAAGUAAUCGUAAUGAUAUCACAUAUCAUGUAUCUCAGUA